AUUGAACGCUGGCGGAAUGCUUUACACAUGCAAGUCGAACGGCAGCACGGGGGCAACCCUGGAGGCGAGUGGCGAACGGGUGAGUAAUACAUCGGAACGUGCCCAGUCGUGGGGGAUAACGCAGCGAAAGCUGUGCUAAUACCGCAUACGAUCUAUGGAUGAAAGCGGGGGACCGUAAGGCCUCGCGCGAUUGGAGCGGCCGAUGGCAGAUUAGGUAGUUGGUGGGGUAAAGGCUCACCAAGCCGACGAUCUGUAGCUGGUCUGAGAGGACGACCCGCCACACUGGGACUGAGACACGGCCCAGACUCCGACGGGAGGCAGCGGUGGGGAAUUUUGGACAAUGGGCGCAAGCCUGAUACAGCCAUUCCGCGUGCAGGAUGAAGGCCCUCGGGUUGUAAACUGCUUUUGUACGGAACGAAAGGCCUUCUUCUAAUACAGGAGGGUCAUGACGGUACCGUAAGAAUAAGCACCGGCUAACUACGUGCCAGCCGCCGCCGUAA
RNAcentral lists this ribosomal RNA (500 nucleotides) under uncultured bacterium. RNAcentral describes it as "partial 16S ribosomal RNA". It matches the Rfam family "Bacterial small subunit ribosomal RNA", at positions 29 to 523 of the family's 1533-position model. The record is from RNAcentral.